Molecule: non-coding RNA, 116 nt
Organism: Brachypodium distachyon (stiff brome)
Lineage: Eukaryota; Viridiplantae; Streptophyta; Magnoliopsida; Poales; Poaceae
Source: Rfam
CAAGGUACCUUUUGACCCUACUUAGUUUAACCAAAUGAACUAAAAUUUUAAAGUGACAUAACUUUUUAGAAAACUAGUUCAUUUGUUUGAACUAAGUAUGGUAAAAGGGUACCCUG